Aquila chrysaetos chrysaetos is the source of this 5311-nucleotide long non-coding RNA. RefSeq lists it as uncharacterized. The record is from RefSeq and is a predicted model, not a curated record. Lineage: Eukaryota; Metazoa; Chordata; Aves; Accipitriformes; Accipitridae. The transcript has 5 exons.
UCCCUUUCCUAACUAAUCCUGUCACUAUAAAAUCCUACAGUCAUUCUUCAACACAUAAAGGGAAAACGGACUCACUAGGAGGACCUAGACUGUUUCAGCUUGAACUGUUAACCAAUGGUGGAAAUGCAAGAAUGCUGAAGUUGUGCCUUCGGAGCCAAUAGAGUGGAUUUGUGUGUCCCACAUGACUGUGUUUCCCCUGUCUUUCACAUGGGCAGUAUUUAGUUCAAUUCAGAACUGCAGAUAGUAUAGCGUGCAGAGCAGCAAUGGGAUGUCUGAGCACAAGUGGCUGACUUCCAGGCGACUUCAGGAAGCACAUUUGUACGUUUCUCCUGAAUUAAACUGGGAUUCUGCACCCUUGACAUCCUCUGACCCUCCUUGUCUCUGCAGAAGGAGACAACGACCUGCACAGCACAACAAAACUAUUGCUUAAAAACAAACACAGAAAUUUGCUAUGAGGCAAAUGAAAGUUGGGCAUCUUUGCCUUCCAGAGCUAGUAACUCUACCUUUCACUGAGAUUAACAAAAUCUACAGUCUCUCUUCAAAACAAAUGACAAAUCACCACAGUGUUGCAGACCAGCAAAUGAAGUGAACUAAGGGCAAUUUGACCAACAUCACCUGUGUCGGUUCCCCAGAAGUCGAUGAAACAUGUUAUCAGGUCUCCAAGAGGACCACAAGCCUCAGAAGAUUGCUGUGUAGAAGAAACACUGGGCCAACCUAUCAUGUUGAUAUUACACGAAGCAUAGCCCAGUUUGGUAUUCUUUCUACUCUGAAGAAGUCUCACAUCAGAUGAGCAUCCAGGUGCCAGCUGGUGUAAAUACAGAUGCCACUGACGUCAAUGGAGCUGUGUCAGUUUACACUAGCUGAGAAUCUGAUCCCAAGUGUGUUAGUACCAUUUUUAGACACUGCCACUGGAAUUCACUUUUGCAACACAAUUAAAAAUACAUCCAUGCAUUGCAUUUCUUCCUGUCCCCGAGUGUAUAACUGGAAGCCUGUUAGACUGUGGGAGAGGGCAAAAGGGAUGUGGAAGUGUAGCCAACAACUGUAUCCCUGAGAUAACUUUGCAAUAUGAGUAUUAACACUAUUGUUCUGCUGUCUUCCUUUUAUACAAAUGAAUAUAUGCUUUCAAAAGUCUUAACUCCACCUUCCAGUAACACUUGAAUGCCAGCAAAAGAAAAAAGAUGCUGUAAGCCAUGCAGAGUAUCUAUCAUAUAAAUGUUAACUCACUAUUUUAAUCAGUGUACAAUCUGAAUAAACUGUUUUAAUGCAUCAUUAGGGAAAUUAUCUAACAUCAUAAGAAACCCCCAAAACCUGAGGUCUGUGUAUUCACAAAGUAUUUGUCCUAAGCAAUCUCACUGCUGUACAAGCAGUUUAUCAUUAAAAGUACUAAGCCAGCUGCUGCAAGUAGCCUGCAAGCCAGACCUAUCUGACAUAUACCAUUUAUAUUUCAUCGAACAUUUAUGUGGGGGAGGGAGAAGGAAGAAUGGAAGAGGUGGGGCAAUAAGCAGGGCAGAAUAGUACUUCACAGCUCCAGCCACCAUUUCUAAGUAGGAAGAGGGAGCUUUUGUUAUUGUUUUACAUAAGGUAGCUGUUAAACUUGAGUUUACUGUGUAACAGUUGUCAGUAUUAACCAGUACAAUGAAAUUGAACAUUAGUCUUUUGAUUCAAGAUAUCAAGGUCAAAAAGGAAAAGCUAAUUAGAACCGAAGAUGCAGCUCACAUAGCAAUGAAGUAGUUGUCUGUUUGUGCAGCACAACACCCAUAUCUUCAAUUUAGGUCAGUCCAUCAAGAGGAGGAAAAGGACUGGAGACUGAAGAUGAGAUGCUCUACUUCACACAGUUGCCCUCUGGAAGGACUGGCAAACGCAGUCACUUAAAUUAAGCACAGGUCAUCAGACAAGAUAUCUAAUCUAUUCCUAAGACAGGCAGCUCUAGCAGUCCAAAUCCCUAUGGCCUUUACAGCGACACAAUGAACUACUUCCUCAUGUACCUCUGUCAAUCCAUGUUAGGUUCCAAUUUUUUUAAAGUGGUAUUUCAUGUACACCAUGACCCUAUUGCUCAUAGCAAGGAAAACUCUUUGGUUUAUUUAUGACCUACUAACCUUAAAUAAAAAAAAAAAAAAACCAAAAAAACCCAAAAAAACCCACCACAUCCAAUCUGAAUGUUCACAUAAGCCUGCAGAUCUGAAAUAAAGUUUAAAAUAAAGCUGGCAUUUGUAACAGCUAGCUAAGCCCAGUAAGGGAUUUUAAAAAGAUGAAAACCAGAUGAGAGAAGAUGAAAGCAUUUUUACCCUGCAUAACCUACACACAUAAGGAAUCAGGGCUAGAGCUCAGAAAUACUUUUUUGUGGUUUUGGACUCAUAAGUUUCAGCCCAUUUCAACAGAGGCUAGGUAACCAAGGAAAUACUGAGUUUUUUCCAUUAUGGGGGGUGGGGAGGGAAUAAUAACCUGUGAAAGCAAUUCCUUCUAAGAUGCAAUCCACCCAGCCACAAGUUCUACAUAGCUCCUCUCCUUCCCCUACACCACAUCCUAACUGCCAGGUAUCAGCCAGGCAAGACCCCAUAUUGAAAUAUGAAGUGACAGAUGGAAGGAGGGAAUAAGAAUAUAGGAGUAAGUACUGAAAGAAAUGGUGUACAGAAAGAAAGCUUAUAAUAGGGCAGAUGUUAAAUAUGAGCGACCCUAAACCAUAAAGUCUAUUCAUUUGGCCAGAACAACAUUGAACAGAUGCACAAAAGACUACUGAGUUGGAGAGCCUUAUUCUUUCAUCACUCAUGCUAGUGUAAGGAACUCCUUUCAUAACAUCUAUGGAAUUAAACUGUAGAAAAGCCAGUACAAAUAAAUGGAGGGAAAAAAAAAAAAAUAAAAUCAAACUUCAGAGCUAAAGUAUUAGCAGCAAAUAUCCCAUUCUGCUGUAUCAGGGUGGGUGGGUGGCGGGGGGAAGGUUGACUGCCACAUUUGGUUAGAAUCUAGAUAUAUUCAUAAUCACAAUGGCCUUCCUAAAUAAAACCCAUCUAAUCUACCAUAAAGGAGAAAAUUAGUUGAUUCCAUUCUUGUAUAGUUCUCCAAUAGGCUAUAUUAAUGACUCUGUCCUUUAGAUAUAUUUGAUAGAAAAUACAGGUGAGUUAAAUGACAUAAUAAAUACCUCUACAUGCAGAGCAAUUAGUUGACAGAAACAGCUAGGACAAAGUCCUUGUCAUGGUGUUUGUUUACAAAAGAUACAGGCAGCACACUUAUGACCUGCAGCUUUUUGGUGCUGAUUCCCUUCACGCAAGUACAAACAAGUUUAAGAAAAAACCCCAACAUUUAUAAAGAUUUUUUAAAUAAGCAGAAACAGAUUAGAAAGAGUAUAAGACAUCUUUUACCAAAGGACAGGGUAAACAACAAUUCAUAGAAGCCAAUGGAUCAGUCACAAUUUCAGUGCAGCAAGCUGAGUGGACCUAGCAAAAGAGAAUUCAGACCAGCUGAGCUGUGAGACCACCUUCUGCAGGAGAACUCUGAUAACAAAUGCAAUUAAGGUAAAAUUCCUAGGUUACCAUGUUUUGGCUUCUGAUCCCAUCUCUAAAAGCCCUUCCCCUACAACACAAAAAUUGCAACCCUACAUAUUUAUUUUAAUUUUUAUUUAUAUUAAGAAUGAGGGCAAUUGAGUUGGAAAGCUCAGAUUAGGAAAAAAGUGUUGUGCUACUAGGGAAAUUUUUUAGAAUAAGCACUUUACUGUGUGAUGAUCAAGUUCUGGAUAUGGACAGCAUGCUGCUACCUAAAAAAUAUAUGAAAAGAAAUUUAGGUCAUCAAGCCUUGGUGUACAUUCACUUUUUUUCUCCUGAAAACUGUCAUAACAUGUUCUGCAUGUAUGACAAUUUGUAAGGGAAAAAGGCCCUCUGUCUCUAAGACAUUUAUUGAGAAAUUAAGCCUUCUUAAAAGAAAAUGUAGUUUUCAUCAGUGCUAAGCAAGUUUAAAUCCAUUUGAACCAUGUCAGCAGAAGAAAUUUUACUCAGUUGGGCAAUCUAUAAUUGGCAAACCUGAUUCAUAAAACUCUUAGCCAGCUCUGUUCAUAUAUAUGGGAUCUUGUGUUGUGGUUUGCUAUGAAGUUCAGUUUUGUGAAAUAACAGAAAAUAUUAAUCCACUUGACUGAAUCUCCAACCUAUGUUGUUGAAGCCUGAAAAACUGAAAUAUCUUUUCUUUUCAUAGAAAGAAGUUUGAAAAACUGCCAGCUCCUUGCACAAAGACUGAAAUAGGAUGGGCAGAGAACGGUGUUGGUGUCGGUAAGAGAAAAAUAACUGAAGUUGCAUCAUCUGUAUUAAAAUCAUUGUGUGAAUUUUGAUUCCCCCCCCCCCCCUCCUUUCAGGCAUUUGAGGAUGCUGUCAAGUCAAUGGAGUUCUGUUGUAGUGGUUGCUUCAGUGAACAUUCAACGCUGUCGGUGAGUUUGGAAUUAAAGUGAAAACCAUCGACCGUUGAUUGUACCCUCCAGCUAACCAUCCUCCUCCUUACUUCAUGCUUUCAGGCCUUAACACUGAAGAUAGCAACCUAGCCACCACAUGAUGUUUCUCCCCCACCUGCCAAGCUUUACAAAAAAGGUCACAAUCAACAUUCAUUGCUGUCGGUGGGUUUAACUAUGUGGACAAGCUCACUGAACAAUGAAUGCAACUGUGGCCCCACAUUUUACUGUUGCCGUCGAGAGGAACAUCAGCUCUGAAAGCAGUAGUGAGAAGCAAACACUUCUUAUAGGCUACAUUUUUCUGGUCAAAAAAACAGUUGGGGAUAUUCACUUUUUGCUUGUUUGUUUUUAAGUGUGUUUAACUUAGCUGACUAGGAAAAAAAUAAAUCACUGCCUUUUUCCAGAAUAUUGUCCUCCCAGGGUUCAACAUCACCAAAAUCAUGGAAAUUCUUAUUCAGUAUGUAUGUGGAAAUAAAUAACAGUACAGGGAACUUUGUGUAUAUCCACUCCUAAGGAUUCUGAGCAUAAGAGGAAUGAAUAUUUAAAUCUCAUUUUAACUAGGCACUGUGGAAUAGUUAAAAAAUUUCUUCUAUAAUUUUCACUACAAAUACAAAUGGAAGCCAGAGUUCAAAGAUACAGAUAAAAAUGUUAUAUCAAAUAAAAGAUUAAUUAGUUUUACAUGAAACUGAUUUUAAGCACCUAAAUAAAUACUAUUAGACAGCAAAUACUAUUACAUUUGACUUUUUUUAGGAAUCUGAAAGAUGACAGAAAUGUAUAUCCAGAAAUAAUAAUAGAACAGUAAAAUUGUAAAAUUACUGUAAGCUUUGGGUAUCUAUGUCAUACUCUUGGUAUUGCUGAUGAUAAGAAAAUAAAAGUGUAAAUAAA